RNAcentral lists this unclassified non-coding RNA (2959 nucleotides) under Hevea brasiliensis (rubber tree). Lineage: Eukaryota; Viridiplantae; Streptophyta; Magnoliopsida; Malpighiales; Euphorbiaceae. The record is from RNAcentral.
UUUUAUUUUUAUUUUUAUUUUUUCCCGUCUCGCUCGCGCACACACACACUCUCUCUCUAGAAAGACUGCAAAUUUGCAGAGAGCAAAGAGAAAGGACUAAGAGGGGAGAAGUAUCCAACUACCACAGCGUGCUCCUGUCCAUGGCAGUCUCAGCACUUAUCUCCAUUCAUUAGAAGGAUGCUCAGUUGCCAUUGAAGCUGGAAAAUCUAUAUUUUCGCAGCUUAGUUUCUGGUUCUGCAGCUCAUCAGAAGAAAUUUGGUGGUUUCUUAUAUCUUAUCAAUUGAAACAUUAGUGCUUUCUGGACAACUUAGAGCAUUCAAAAUUCAGAGACCCAGUUCAGGGGGCGACCUGCCCCAAGGCAACGACUACAGUCCUUUUCCUGUAGCCCGAAGGGUGAAUUCUUCCCAUACAAUGAUGAUGGAUGAUGAUGUUGAGCGUGGUAAUUUGGGGCCGUACCAAGAGAGGCCAAGGACUUUCCCCAAUAUGCGUAGUAAACCUUAUACUCCAUUUAUUGUUCGAGUGCUAAUGGGAAUAAAUGUCCGUGUUCUUUUUAUACUUUUGCUGUUGGGUUUAGGAGCAAUCUUUUACAUUGGUGCAAGUACUUCUCCCAUCAUUGUGUUUGUCUUUACAAUUUGCAUCAUCAGCUUCCUGUUAUCGAUAUAUCUUACUAAGUGGGUACUAUCAAAGGAUGAGGGCCCUUCUGAAAUGGCUCAGAUAUCAGAUGCAAUACGUGAUGGAGCUGAAGGUUUCUUCAGAACUCAGUAUGGGACCAUCUCCAAGAUGGCACUAUUGCUCGGACUGGCUAUACUAGGCAUCUAUUUAUUUCGUAAUAUAACUCCUCAGCAAGAAUCGUCUGGCUUAGGCAGGGUAACAUCUGCUUAUAUUACGGUCGCUGCAUUUCUCUUUGGGGCUCUAUGUUCUGGUGUUGCUGGGUAUGUUGGCAUGUGGGUGUCAGUACGUGCAAAUGUUCGAGUAUCCAGUGCAGCAAGACGGUCAGCUCGCGAGGCGUUGCAGAUAGCUGUUCGUGCUGGUGGAUUUUCAGCAUUGGUGGUUGUUGGUAUGGCUGUAAUGGGUGUUGCUAUCCUGUAUGCAAUUUUGUAUGUGUGGUUUGGGGUGGAUUCGACUGGUACAAUGAAGGCAACCGAUUUGCCUCUUCUACUAGUUGGGUAUGGUUUUGGAGCUUCAUUUGUUGCCCUUUUUGCUCAGUUGGGUGGUGGAAUAUUCACAAAGGCUGCUGAUGUUGGAGCUGAUCUUGUUGGAAAAGUAGAGCAGGGUAUACCUGAAGAUGACCCACGAAACCCUGCUGUAAUUGCAGAUCUGGUAGGAGACAAUGUUGGCGACUGUGCUGCUCGAGGUGCAGAUCUUUUCGAAAGUAUAGCUGCGGAGAUUAUUAGUGCGAUGAUACUUGGAGGAACCAUGGCUCAACGCUGCAAAAUUGAAGAUCCAUCCGGCUUUAUUCUGUUUCCUCUUGUUGUUCAUUCAUUUGACCUGGUUAUAUCAUCAGUUGGCAUAUUCUCUAUUCGGAACAAAAGGGAUUCUGGAGUAAUUGGAACUAUAGAGGAUCCCAUGAAAACUCUUGAAAAGGGUUACUCAGUGACUAUAUUUUUAGCUGUUCUGACAUUUGGUUUGUCAACACGGUGGUUGCUAUAUACGGAACAGGCUCCUACUGCUUGGUUGAAUUUUGCUUUAUGUGGUCUGGUUGGAAUUGUUACUGCUUAUGUCUUUGUUUGGAUAUCAAAGUACUACACUGACUACAAAUACGAGCCCGUGCGUACCUUAGCCCUUGCUAGCUCUACUGGUCAUGGAACAAACAUAAUUGCGGGUGUUAGUUUGGGUCUGGAAUCCACAGCUCUACCUGUCCUUGUCAUAAGCUUGGCUAUUGUUUCUGCUUUCUGGCUUGGUCGCACGUCAGGAUUAACAGACGAAGCUGGAAAUCCAACUGGGGGGUUGUUUGGCACUGCUGUAGCAACUAUGGGAAUGCUUAGUACGGCUGCGUAUGUUCUCACCAUGGAUAUGUUUGGUCCAAUAGCUGAUAAUGCUGGUGGGAUUGUUGAGAUGAGCCAACAGCCUGAAAGUGUUCGUGAGAUAACUGAUGUUCUUGAUGCUGUUGGAAACACUACUAAAGCUACAACCAAGGGAUUUGCAAUUGGAUCUGCAGCACUUGCAUCAUUUCUUCUGUUCAGUGCCUAUAUGGAUGAGGUAGCUGCAUUUGCUCAAGAACCCUUCAAGCAGGUUGACAUAGCGAUACCUGAAGUAUUUGUUGGUGGUUUACUGGGUUCUAUGCUCAUCUUUCUGUUCAGUGCUUGGGCGUGUGCAGCUGUUGGUCGAACUGCUCAGGAAGUAGUCAAUGAAGUAAGAAGACAGUUUAUUGAGAGGCCUGGGAUCAUGGAUUAUAAGGAGAAGCCAGAUUAUGGUCGAUGUGUGUCCAUUGUUGCAUCUGCGUCUUUGAAGGAGAUGAUUAAACCUGGAGCCCUGGCUAUCAUAUCCCCCACAGUUGCUGGUGUUAUUUUCCGCAUUUUGGGCUACUACACAGGGCAUCCUCUUCUUGGGGCUAAAGUUGUAGCUUCCAUGUUGAUGUUUGCCACGGUUUCUGGUAUCCUUAUGGCUCUUUUCCUCAACACUGCUGGUGGAGCCUGGGAUAAUGCAAAGAAAUACAUAGAAACAGGUGCUCUUGGAGGCAAGGGGAGUGACACCCACAAAGCAGCAGUUACUGGAGACACGGUAGGAGACCCAUUCAAAGAUACAGCUGGACCUUCUCUCCAUGUACUAAUCAAAAUGCUUGCUACAAUAACUCUUGUGAUGGCUCCUAUCUUUCUGUGAGAGUUAAAUUUAAGAGAUUUUUAAAUAUACGGCACAAGUCUGUAGGAGCUUUUCUGUGUUCACUGGAUGGAUAUAUGACGAGAGAUGUAUUUUCUGGUUUACAUAACGAAAACCACAUUUUUUUGAUACAUGAAUUUCU